This 253-nucleotide ribosomal RNA is filed under the name uncultured bacterium. RNAcentral's name for it is "partial 16S ribosomal RNA". It matches the Rfam family "Bacterial small subunit ribosomal RNA", at positions 524 to 776 of the family's 1533-position model. The record is from RNAcentral.
UACGGGGGGGGCAAGCGUUGUUCGGAAUUACUGGGCGUAAAGGGCUCGUAGGUGGCCAACUAAGUCAGACGUGAAAUCCCUCGGCUUAACCGGGGAACUGCGUCUGAUACUGGAUGGCUUGAGUUCGGGAGAGGGAUGCGGAAUUCCAGGUGUAGCGGUGAAAUGCGUAGAUAUCAGGAGGAACACCAGCGGCGAAGGCGGCGCUCUGGGCCGGUACUGACACUGAGGAGCGAAAGCGUGGGUAGCAAACAGG